UCCUACGGGAGGCAGCAGUGGGGAAUUUUGGACAAUGGGCGAAAGCCUGAUCCAGCAAUGCCGCGUGUGUGAAGAAGGCCUUCGGGUUGUAAAGCACUUUUGUCCGGAAAGAAAUCCUGGUGGCUAAUAUCCGCCGGGGAUGACGGUACCGGAAGAAUAAGCACCGGCUAACUACGUGCCAGCAGCCGCGGUAAUACGUAGGGUGCGAGCGUUAAUCGGAAUUACUGGGCGUAAAGCGUGCGCAGGCGGUGAUGUAAGACCGAUGUGAAAUCCCCGGGCUUAACCUGGGAACUGCAUUGGUGACUGCAUCGCUGGAGUAUGGCAGAGGGGGGUAGAAUUCCACGUGUAGCAGUGAAAUGCGUAGAGAUGUGGAGGAAUACCGAUGGCGAAGGCAGCCCCCUGGGCCAAUACUGACGCUCAUGCACGAAAGCGUGGGGAGCAAACAGGAUUAGAUACCCUGGUAGUCCACGCCCUAAACGAUGUCAACUGGUUGUCGGGCCUUCAUUGGCUUGGUAACGUAGCUAACGCGUGAAGUUGACCGCCUGGGGAGUACGGUCGCAAGAUUAAAACUCAAAGGAAUUGACGGGGACCCGCACAAGCGGUGGAUGAUGUGGAUUAAUUCGAUGCAACGCGAAAAACCUUACA
RNAcentral lists this ribosomal RNA (645 nucleotides) under uncultured bacterium. RNAcentral's name for it is "bacterial SSU rRNA". It matches the Rfam family "Bacterial small subunit ribosomal RNA", at positions 337 to 975 of the family's 1533-position model. The record is from RNAcentral.